This 772-nucleotide ribosomal RNA is filed under the name uncultured Campylobacterota bacterium. RNAcentral describes it as "bacterial SSU rRNA". It matches the Rfam family "Bacterial small subunit ribosomal RNA", at positions 509 to 1282 of the family's 1533-position model. Lineage: Bacteria; Pseudomonadati; Campylobacterota. The record is from RNAcentral.
CAGCCGCCGCGGUAAUACGGAGGGUGCAAGCGUUACUCGGAAUCACUGGGCGUAAAGCGCGCGCAGGCGGCUAUUUAAGUUGGAUGUGAAAGCCUACGGCUCAACCGUAGAACUGCAUCCAAAACUAUUUAGCUAGAGUGUGGGAGAGGAAGAUGGAAUUAGUUGUGUAGGGGUAAAAUCCGUAGAGAUAACUAGGAAUACCAAAAGCGAAGGCAAUCUUCUGGAACAUUACUGACGCUGAGGCGCGAAAGCGUGGGGAGCAAACAGGAUUAGAUACCCUGGUAGUCCACGCCCUAAACGAUGAAUGUUAGUCGUCGGGUAGCUAGUCUAUUCGGUGAUGCAGCUAACGCAUUAAACAUUCCGCCUGGGGAGUACGGUCGCAAGAUUAAAACUCAAAGGAAUAGACGGGGACCCGCACAAGUGGUGGAGCAUGUGGUUUAAUUCGAAGAUACGCGAAGAACCUUACCUAGCCUUGACAUAUAUCAGAACACUUUAGAGAUAGAGUAGUGCCUUCGGGAACUUUUAUACAGGUGCUGCACGGCUGUCGUCAGCUCGUGUCGUGAGAUGUUGGGUUAAGUCCCGCAACGAGCGCAACCCUCGUCACUAGUUACUAACGGUUCGGCCGAGGACUCUAGUGAGACUGCCUUCGCAAGGAGGAGGAAGGUGAGGACGACGUCAAGUCAUCAUGGCCCUUACGGCUAGGGCAACACACGUGCUACAAUGGCCAGGACAAUGAGACGCGAUACCGCGAGGUGGAGCAAAUCUAUAAACC